UACGUAGGGUGCAAGCGUUAAUCGGAAUUACUGGGCGUAAAGCGUGCGCAGGCGGCUUUGCAAGACAGAUGUGAAAUCCCCGGGCUCAACCUGGGAACUGCAUUUGUGACUGCAAGGCUGGAGUACGGCAGAGGGGGAUGGAAUUCCGCGUGCAGCAGUGAAAUGCGUAGAUAUGCGGAGGAACACCGAUGGCGAAGGCAAUCCCCCGGGCCUGUACUGACGCUCAUGCACGAAAGCGUGGGGAGCAAACAGG
Molecule: ribosomal RNA, 253 nt
Filed under: uncultured bacterium
Lineage: Bacteria
Description: partial 16S ribosomal RNA
Rfam family: Bacterial small subunit ribosomal RNA
Source: RNAcentral